CCUACGGGGGGCAGCAGUGGGGAAUAUUGCACAAUGGGCGCAAGCCUGAUGCAGCCAUGCCGCGUGUGUGAAGAAGGCCUUCGGGUUGUAAAGCACUUUCAGCGGGGAGGAAGGCGUUAAGGUUAAUAACCUUGGCGAUUGACGUUACCCGCAGAAGAAGCACCGGCUAACUCCGUGCCAGCAGCCGCGGUAAUACGGAGGGUGCAAGCGUUAAUCGGAAUUACUGGGCGUAAAGCGCACGCAGGCGGUCUGUCAAGUCGGAUGUGAAAUCCCCGGGCUCAACCUGGGAACUGCAUUCGAAACUGGCAGGCUAGAGUCUUGUAGAGGGGGGUAGAAUUCCAGGUGUAGCGGUGAAAUGCGUAGAGAUCUGGAGGAAUACCGGUGGCGAGGGCGGCCCCCUGGACAAAGACUGACGCUCAGGUGCGAAAGCGUGGGGAGCAAACAGGAUUAAUACCCGGGUAGUC
RNAcentral lists this ribosomal RNA (464 nucleotides) under uncultured Klebsiella sp. RNAcentral's name for it is "bacterial SSU rRNA". It matches the Rfam family "Bacterial small subunit ribosomal RNA", at positions 338 to 795 of the family's 1533-position model. The record is from RNAcentral. Lineage: Bacteria; Pseudomonadati; Pseudomonadota; Gammaproteobacteria; Enterobacterales; Enterobacteriaceae.